GGGUUGUGAGGUUAAGCGACUAAGCGUACACGGUGGAUGCCCUGGCAGUCAGAGGCGAUGAAGGACGUGCUAAUCUGCGAUAAGCGUCGGUAAGGUGAUAUGAACCGUUAUAACCGGCGAUUUCCGAAUGGGGAAACCCAGUGUGAUUCGUCACACUAUCAUUAACUGAAUCCAUAGGUUAAUGAGGCGAACCGGGGGAACUGAAACAUCUAAGUACCCCGAGGAAAAGAAAUCAACCGAGAUUCCCCCAGUAGCGGCGAGCGAACGGGGAGCAGCCCAGAGCCUGAAUCAGUGUGUGUGUUAGUGGAAGCGUCUGGAAAGGCGCGCGAUACAGGGUGACAGCCCCGUACACAAAAAUGCACAUGCUGUGAGCUCGAUGAGUAGGGCGGGACACGUGGUAUCCUGUCUGAAUAUGGGGGGACCAUCCUCCAAGGCUAAAUACUCCUGACUGACCGAUAGUGAACCAGUACCGUGAGGGAAAGGCGAAAAGAACCCCGGCGAGGGGAGUGAAAAAGAACCUGAAACCGUGUACGUACAAGCAGUGGGAGCACAGAGCAAUCUGUGUGACUGCGUACCUUUUGUAUAAUGGGUCAGCGACUUAUAUUCUGUAGCAAGGUUAACCGAAUAGGGGAGCCGAAGGGAAACCGAGUCUUAACUGGGCGUUAAGUUGCAGGGUAUAGACCCGAAACCCGGUGAUCUAGCCAUGGGCAGGUUGAAGGUUGGGUAACACUAACUGGAGGACCGAACCGACUAAUGUUGAAAAAUUAGCGGAUGACUUGUGGCUGGGGGUGAAAGGCCAAUCAAACCGGGAGAUAGCUGGUUCUCCCCGAAAGCUAUUUAGGUAGCGCCUCGUGAAUUCAUCUCCGGGGGUAGAGCACUGUUUCGGCAAGGGGGUCAUCCCGACUUACCAACCCGAUGCAAACUGCGAAUACCGGAGAAUGUUAUCACGGGAGACACACGGCGGGUGCUAACGUCCGUCGUGAAGAGGGAAACAACCCAGACCGCCAGCUAAGGUCCCAAAGUCAUGGUUAAGUGGGAAACGAUGUGGGAAGGCCCAGACAGCCAGGAUGUUGGCUUAGAAGCAGCCAUCAUUUAAAGAAAGCGUAAUAGCUCACUGGUCGAGUCGGCCUGCGCGGAAGAUGUAACGGGGCUAAACCAUGCACCGAAGCUGCGGCAGCGACGCUGAUGCGUUGUUGGGUAGGGGAGCGUUCUGUAAGCCUGCGAAGGUGUGCUGUGAGGCAUGCUGGAGGUAUCAGAAGUGCGAAUGCUGACAUAAGUAACGAUAAAGCGGGUGAAAAGCCCGCUCGCCGGAAGACCAAGGGUUCCUGUCCAACGUUAAUCGGGGCAGGGUGAGUCGACCCCUAAGGCGAGGCCGAAAGGCGUAGUCGAUGGGAAACAGGUUAAUAUUCCUGUACUUGGUGUUACUGCGAAGGGGGGACGGAGAAGGCUAUGUUGGCCGGGCGACGGUUGUCCCGGUUUAAGCGUGUAGGCUGGUUUUCCAGGCAAAUCCGGAAAAUCAAGGCUGAGGCGUGAUGACGAGGCACUACGGUGCUGAAGCAACAAAUGCCCUGCUUCCAGGAAAAGCCUCUAAGCAUCAGGUAACAUCAAAUCGUACCCCAAACCGACACAGGUGGUCAGGUAGAGAAUACCAAGGCGCUUGAGAGAACUCGGGUGAAGGAACUAGGCAAAAUGGUGCCGUAACUUCGGGAGAAGGCACGCUGAUAUGUAGGUGAAGUCCCUCGCGGAUGGAGCUGAAAUCAGUCGAAGAUACCAGCUGGCUGCAACUGUUUAUUAAAAACACAGCACUGUGCAAACACGAAAGUGGACGUAUACGGUGUGACGCCUGCCCGGUGCCGGAAGGUUAAUUGAUGGGGUCAGCGCAAGCGAAGCUCUUGAUCGAAGCCCCGGUAAACGGCGGCCGUAACUAUAACGGUCCUAAGGUAGCGAAAUUCCUUGUCGGGUAAGUUCCGACCUGCACGAAUGGCGUAAUGAUGGCCAGGCUGUCUCCACCCGAGACUCAGUGAAAUUGAACUCGCUGUGAAGAUGCAGUGUACCCGCGGCAAGACGGAAAGACCCCGUGAACCUUUACUAUAGCUUGACACUGAACAUUGAGCCUUGAUGUGUAGGAUAGGUGGGAGGCUUUGAAGUGUGGACGCCAGUCUGCAUGGAGCCGACCUUGAAAUACCACCCUUUAAUGUUUGAUGUUCUAACGUUGACCCGUGAUCCGGGUUGCGGACAGUGUCUGGUGGGUAGUUUGACUGGGGCGGUCUCCUCCUAAAGAGUAACGGAGGAGCACGAAGGUUGGCUAAUCCUGGUCGGACAUCAGGAGGUUAGUGCAAUGGCAUAAGCCAGCUUGACUGCGAGCGUGACGGCGCGAGCAGGUGCGAAAGCAGGUCAUAGUGAUCCGGUGGUUCUGAAUGGAAGGGCCAUCGCUCAACGGAUAAAAGGUACUCCGGGGAUAACAGGCUGAUACCGCCCAAGAGUUCAUAUCGACGGCGGUGUUUGGCACCUCGAUGUCGGCUCAUCACAUCCUGGGGCUGAAGUAGGUCCCAAGGGUAUGGCUGUUCGCCAUUUAAAGUGGUACGCGAGCUGGGUUUAGAACGUCGUGAGACAGUUCGGUCCCUAUCUGCCGUGGGCGCUGGAGAACUGAGGGGGGCUGCUCCUAGUACGAGAGGACCGGAGUGGACGCAUCACUGGUGUUCGGGUUGUCAUGCCAAUGGCACUGCCCGGUAGCUAAAUGCGGAAGAGAUAAGUGCUGAAAGCAUCUAAGCACGAAACUUGCCCCGAGAUGAGUUCUCCCUGACUCCUUGAGAGUCCUGAAGGAACGUUGAAGACGACGACGUUGAUAGGCCGGGUGUGUAAGCGCAGCGAUGCGUUGAGCUAACCGGUACUAAUGAACCGUGAGGCUUAACCUUACAACGCCGAAGGUGUUU
RNAcentral lists this ribosomal RNA (2933 nucleotides) under Escherichia coli. RNAcentral describes it as "bacterial LSU rRNA". It matches the Rfam family "Bacterial large subunit ribosomal RNA". Lineage: Bacteria; Pseudomonadati; Pseudomonadota; Gammaproteobacteria; Enterobacterales; Enterobacteriaceae. The record is from RNAcentral.